This is a long non-coding RNA of Poecilia latipinna (sailfin molly), 401 nucleotides long. RefSeq lists it as uncharacterized. The transcript is spliced from 2 exons. NCBI's taxonomy places the organism in Eukaryota, Metazoa, Chordata, Actinopteri, Cyprinodontiformes, Poeciliidae. The record is from RefSeq and is a predicted model, not a curated record.
UCUCCGACACGUCUCCCAUGUUCACCUCUGGCAGCUAACUGUGCGUGCAGGAUACCGGAAACAACGGCUUUCUACGCAACACAACCUUGUCGAUAAUGCAGAUGCCUUCUGGUUUUGCCCGAGCGAGGCGGUUAUGGAUUUGCCAGACGGCGGAUUUAUAAGACGGGAAACACUCCACAGAGACGCCUCUGGAUUACCUCAACAGCGUGCUUCUGCAAAGGUCAAACGUAUUUUAUUGUAUUCAGAAAAAUCAAUUAUGAGAUAAGAUCUGUGAGAAUGAAUAUGGAAGAUUAUGUACUAACGCACGCACACUUGUCAUAUUUUUACUGCACACACAAAGAACAGAACUGGCGUCUUUAUUUACUGGCAAUUGCUAAAUACUUUAAUGAAACAGAAAAAAA